Molecule: ribosomal RNA, 440 nt
Filed under: uncultured bacterium
Lineage: Bacteria
Description: bacterial SSU rRNA
Rfam family: Bacterial small subunit ribosomal RNA
Source: RNAcentral
CCUACGGGUGGCAGCAGCAAGGAAUCUUCGGCACUGGGCGCAAGCCUGACCGAGCAACGCCGCGUGGAGGACGACGGCCUUCGGGUUGUAAACUCCUUUCGGCGGGGACGAAACGGACGGUACCCGCAAAAGCAGCCCCGGCUAACUCUGUGCCAGCAGCCGCGGUAAGACAGAGGGGGCAAGCGUUGUCCGGAUUUACUGGGCGUACAGCGCGCGCAGGCGGCACUCGACGUGCCCUGUGACAAGCCACCGCUUAACGGUGGAGGGCCAGGGUAAACGCGAGCGCUGGAGGCAGGGAGAGGGCAGUGGAAUACCCGGUGGAGCGGUGAAAUGCGUAGAGAUCGGGUGGAACACCAGGGGCGAAGGCGGCUGCCUGGCCCUGACCUGACGCUGAGGCGCGAGAGCGUGGGGAGCGAACCGGAUUAGAUACCCCUGUAGUC